AUUGAACGCUGGCGGCAGGCCUAACACAUGCAAGUCGAACGAGUGGCGGACGGGUGAGUAAUGUCUGGGCAACUGCCUGAUGGCGGGGGAUAACUACUGGAAACGGUAGCUAAUACCGCAUACCAUCGGAUGUGCCCAGAUGGGAUUAGCUAUUAGGGGGGGUACAGGCUCACCUAGGCGACGAUCCCUAGCUGGUCGAAGAGUAUGACCAGCCACACUGGAAAUGAGACACGGUCCAGACGCCUACGGUAGGCAGCAGUGGGGAAUAUUGCACAAGGGGCGCAAGCAGGAUGCAGCCAUGCAGCGUGUAUGAAGAAGGCCGUAGGGUUGUAAAGUACUUUCAGCGGGGAGGCGUUACCCGCAGAAGAAGCACCGGCUAACUCCGUGCCAGCAGCCGCGGUAAUAC
RNAcentral lists this ribosomal RNA (406 nucleotides) under uncultured bacterium. RNAcentral's name for it is "partial 16S ribosomal RNA". It matches the Rfam family "Bacterial small subunit ribosomal RNA", at positions 30 to 526 of the family's 1533-position model. The record is from RNAcentral.